Molecule: ribosomal RNA, 446 nt
Filed under: uncultured bacterium
Lineage: Bacteria
Description: partial 16S ribosomal RNA
Rfam family: Bacterial small subunit ribosomal RNA
Source: RNAcentral
ACUACGGGAGGCAGCAGUAGGGAAUUUUCGGCAAUGGGGGGAACCCUGACCGAGCAACGCCGCGUGAACGAAGAAGUUAUUCGUAAUGUCAAGUUCUUUUACCAGGGAAGAAAGAGAAAUUUGACGGUACCUGCAGAAUAAGCUCCGGCUAACUACGUGCCAGCAGCCGCGGUAAUACGUAGGGAGCGAGCGUUAUCCGGAAUUAUUGGGCGAAAAGGGUGCGUAGAUGGCACAGUAAGUCUUUUGUAAAAAGGCUGGGCUAAACCCAGUAGGGCAAAAGAUACUGCAAAGCUAGAGUAUGACAGAGGCAAGUGGAACUACAUGUGGAGCGGUAAAAUGCGUAAAUAGAUGGAAGAACACCAGUGGCGAAGGCGGCUUGCUGGGUUGAUACUGACAUUGAGGCACGAAAGCGUGGGGAGCAAACAGGAUUAGAUACCCUUGUAGUC